GACGCGAUGGCCGAAUGGUUAGCGCGCUGGACUCCGCACCGAGCGGUCUGGGUUCGAGCCCUGGCCUGGGGGACUGCGUUG
Non-coding RNA from Desmophyllum pertusum, 81 nucleotides. Lineage: Eukaryota; Metazoa; Cnidaria; Anthozoa; Scleractinia; Caryophylliidae. The record is from the annotation of a GenBank genome assembly.